RNAcentral lists this long non-coding RNA (344 nucleotides) under Panax ginseng (ginseng). RNAcentral describes it as "long non-coding RNA (PGIN_LNC009390)". The record is from RNAcentral. Lineage: Eukaryota; Viridiplantae; Streptophyta; Magnoliopsida; Apiales; Araliaceae.
UAAUUUAGUUCAUCACAUAUGAAAUAAACACUGAAAUCAUAAAAGAAUCCAUCAUCCCAAUUACAAUAACUGAAUUAAAGAAGUAGAAUGAAUACAAAACCACCCUUCUUCUUCUCUCCAACUUGUAAUUUUCAUGACUCGAACCUUCAAUCCUUCCUCCAAUGCAAUUUUCUCAAAUUAGGGUUCUAGAUUGUUAAUUGAUUCAAUGUUGUUAUCUUCUCUUGUUGUCUAUGUUAAUCUCCAGCACAAGACACGUAUUUAGUCCAUAAACUGACGCCAAUCGGAGUCCCAAGCCAUGCCAACUUCCUUACUAGACGUUGUUGCAGAACUCUACUUGAAUCAUA